AGUGAACGCUGGCGGUAGGCCUAACACAUGCAAGUCGAACGGCAGCACAGGAGAGCUUGCUCUCUGGGUGGCGAGUGGCGGACGGGUGAGGAAUACAUCGGAAUCUACUCUGUCGUGGGGGAUAACGUAGGGAAACUUACGCUAAUACCGCAUACGACCUACGGGUGAAAGCAGGGGACCUUCGGGCCUUGCUCGAUUGAAUGAGCCGAUGUCGGAUUAGCUAGUUGGCGGGGUAAAGGCCCACCAAGGCGACGAUCCGUAGCUGGUCUGAGAGGAUGAUCAGCCACACUGGAACUGAGACACGGUCCAGACUCCUACGGGAGGCAGCAGUGGGGAAUAUUAGACAAUGGGCGCAAGCCUGAUCCAGCCAUACCGCGUGGGUGAAGAAGGCCUUCGGGUUGUAAAGCCCUUUUGUUGGGAAAGAAAUCCAGCUGGCUAAUACCCGGUUGGGAUGACGGUACCCAAAGAAUAAGCACCGGCUAACUUCGUGCCAGCCGCCGCGGUAA
Molecule: ribosomal RNA, 506 nt
Filed under: uncultured bacterium
Lineage: Bacteria
Description: partial 16S ribosomal RNA
Rfam family: Bacterial small subunit ribosomal RNA
Source: RNAcentral